GCUGGGCGUGGUGGUGGGCGCCUGUAAUCCCAACUACUUGGGAGGCUGAGGCAGGAGAAUCGCUUGAACCCAGGAGGUGGAGGUUGCAGUGAGCUGAAAUUGUGCCACUGCACUCCAGCCUGGAUGACAGAGCAAGACUCUGUCUCAA
This 148-nucleotide small RNA is filed under the name Macaca fascicularis (crab-eating macaque). RNAcentral describes it as "Metazoan signal recognition particle RNA (ENSMFAG00000056749.1)". The record is from Rfam by way of RNAcentral. Lineage: Eukaryota; Metazoa; Chordata; Mammalia; Primates; Cercopithecidae.